Molecule: long non-coding RNA, 218 nt
Filed under: Solanum tuberosum (potato)
Lineage: Eukaryota; Viridiplantae; Streptophyta; Magnoliopsida; Solanales; Solanaceae
Description: long non-coding RNA (STUB_LNC006282)
Source: RNAcentral
GUAACGACCCUCAAAAUGAAAUAGGAUAAUUAGAGCUUCACAUGCGUGUUAGUAGUUGAUAAACUUGUAUAAAGAGUUGGUAAAUUUCCCCCUUGGCUAAUUAAAUGUUUGGGCAUUUAUUUUAAGUUGUUUUUAUUAUUUUAGGUAUAUUAGAUCUUUUAAUUGAGGGCUAUAACUAUAUUCUUCAAAUUAGAAUUUCCAAAGUCUUUCUCUCUCUA